RNAcentral lists this transfer RNA (76 nucleotides) under Parcubacteria group bacterium RIFOXYD2_FULL_52_8. RNAcentral's name for it is "tRNA-Ala". It matches the Rfam family "tRNA". Rfam says of the family: Transfer RNA (tRNA) molecules are approximately 80 nucleotides in length. Their secondary structure includes four short double-helical elements and three loops (D, anti-codon, and T loops). Further hydrogen bonds mediate the characteristic L-shaped molecular structure. tRNAs have two regions of fundamental functional importance: the anti-codon, which is responsible for specific mRNA codon recognition, and the 3' end, to which the tRNAs corresponding amino acid is attached (by aminoacyl-tRNA synthetases). tRNAs cope with the degeneracy of the genetic code in two manners: having more than one tRNA (with a specific anti-codon) for a particular amino acid; and 'wobble' base-pairing, i.e. permitting non-standard base-pairing at the 3rd anti-codon position. The record is from RNAcentral.
GGGCCAGUAGCUCAAUUGGUAGAGCGCGCGCAUGGCAUGUGCGAGGUACGGGGUUCGAAACCCCGCUGGUCCACAA